Molecule: transfer RNA, 69 nt
Filed under: Chaetodontoplus conspicillatus (spectacled angelfish)
Lineage: Eukaryota; Metazoa; Chordata; Actinopteri; Pomacanthidae
Description: tRNA-His
Rfam family: tRNA
About the family: Transfer RNA (tRNA) molecules are approximately 80 nucleotides in length. Their secondary structure includes four short double-helical elements and three loops (D, anti-codon, and T loops).
Source: RNAcentral
GUAGGUAUAGUUUAACAAAAAUAUUAGAUUGUGAUUCUAAAGUCAGAGGUUAAAAUCCCCUUACCCACC